Anas platyrhynchos (mallard) is the source of this 535-nucleotide long non-coding RNA. RefSeq lists it as uncharacterized. Lineage: Eukaryota; Metazoa; Chordata; Aves; Anseriformes; Anatidae. The record is from RefSeq and is a predicted model, not a curated record.
GGGAAGUGCACAAGAAGCGGAAGGGAGGGGUGCGUGCAGGCUGCCCCCACUCACAGCGUGCAUGUACCCACAUCCUGCUCUAUGCUGCUUUUCUUGUCCAGUCUUCUCCCCAGACACGCUCUGCUCUUGCCAGACUUGGCUUAGAGAGAAACUACAGGACUGCAUGAGAGCAAACUUCAAUUCCGCUUGCUUGGAGCCAUGGCCUAAAGUUCUGUGGAGGAAAUCCAGGACAAAAAGAGCUGGAUGGCAGCUGGAUGACAGAAAUGUUCUGCAAAUGAAGAAUUCUGUGAUUUGACCAGUUCUGUUUGAGCUGCAUCGUGGGGGCAGAAACAUCCUUAGAGAUGGAUGCUCUAACCACUAUAUAGAGCAGGACCAUAAAUAUCCUUUUCCAGCACUGGAGCUGCAGUUACAGUAUAGUGAAAUCUAUCAUCUCAUAUAAGCUGCAGUCUGUCUGCAUCAGAAAAUGACCCAGAACUUUCUACCCACAGUGACUGGAUUCAGUUAUGGUUUUAAUUUAAGAGAUUUGAUGCAUAUA